GUAGUUUUCUUUCAAUUGGGUUUUCAGUUUUUGUUCCCAAAUUCAGAGAAAUGCAUACCCUUGAAGAAUUUCCUAAAUGGUAUUUGGUUUGUUGAUUUUUUAAAAACUUGUGUGCAUUUAAGGGUUAUAGUUGUAAUGAGAGCUUUACCCAUGAACAUCAUGAACUUCUGUAUUCAAGAAGCAGGUGGUUACUGGUAUUGUUUUCCCCCAUUAUUAAGUGUAAUAGGCACAAUGAAUUCUAAAGUAUAAUUUGGGAAUGCAACUUUCAAAGAUGGCACUUAACUUUUGUGAAAAGUUCUGCCACAUAACCAUUUCAAUUAUUCUAUCCCUGUGGAAAUAGAAAGGAAGCUUACCUGCUCAAUAUUUUUCAGGUAAACUAUAAUAGGCAUUAUGCGAGGUUUUAUAGUCUGGUUUGCACUGUUUUAAUCUUGACACUUUUCCGUUCACCUUGUAUUUAUAAACGUUGGGGAAGCAAUUCAGUUUACUAAAAAAACAUAAUUCAAUUGAAAGUAAGCCUUUAAAAGCAGUUCUUAUUUUUUAAAAUAUGAGAAGACUUAGCAGGAAAGAAUCAACAAUUUAAAUGUGUGACUUUUUGCUUGGUCUCUUCUUUACUCCAAUAUUUUCGUUUGUUUGUAAAGCCACUGUACAGUAACAAUAUGUUUCUCUUAUGUAACCAAUUUUCAAGUUUGAAUAAGUACAAUUAAUUGAAAAGUGGCUUAGUGGGAAACAUGCUAUUAAAGUAUUUUUUUCAAGUAGAGCCUCACUUCUGAAACUAUUACACCCUUUCACUUUUUAAGAAUAUGGGUACAGUAACCCACAAUUCUGAAAUACAAAUUGAAAAUAUAAAUUGUUCUGUGAUAAAUGAAACUUGGAACUGAAUCAAAUUAAAUCUAGCUACUAUUAUAGGCAGAGUCACUAAGACAGAUUUGUAUUGCCUAUACUGCAUAAUAUUGGACUAUCCAUAUUACUGCAUUUGUCAAAUGCAAUAUGCUGAUGGCUACAUAAAAAGUUUUCUUAGUGUAUUUAUUUGGAGAGGGAAUUCGGUCUUUGUUAAACUAAUAUGUUAAUUUAAAAGCCAUCCUUGUAUUUUUUUUGAAAAUCUUUUAACGUCAGAUUUGAAAGUCAAACUUGUUGGAAAUAGUAUGCAUACUGAUGUGCUCUCCUUGUUAAAAAAAUCCUUCAGAGCUUGAAUUUGAGGUAAAGUGAACAUACUGCCAUUUUAGGCAAUUUUUGGGAACCGGUGUUGGAAAACCCUACACCAUGGAUUUCUUUUUCUAUUUUAAUUGAAAAUUAUGUCCAAUGCUGCUUUUGAUUUGAACUGGGUAAAGGGUAUGUGAAAUGGGCAAUUAAGAUUUUUUUUAAAGAAAGAAGAUAGUCCAUUAGUAGCUAUAGAAAGAAAAAGAACAUUAGGAGUCCAAUUUAGACUAAAAUGAUAACCAACCUUGGAUGGCUCAGCACUUAGUUAUAGCUGCUGUAGCAUUGAAUUAUAUGCUUUUUGUUUGUAUUAGGAUAACAGCAGUGCAAUUAUUCAUUUGAGCCAACCUCCAAGACUUCAGGAUAGGAAAAGUUAAGUUUUGUGACACAUCUGUAUGCAGAUAAAGAGGAUUGUGAUCUUUUGUAUAUGGUAUUAUGAAGCCUUAGGGCAAUGUAUAUUUGAAUGCUCACAUGUUCAGAAAUUUGUUUCCAGAGUUAUAACAUUAGGAUGGAGAAUGUGUUUUUUCCUGAGAGUCACUUUAUACCACUUUUGGGGGAGAUGGAUAGGAAAAUCUUAACUGGCAUGUUGUCUUUAGGAUUUAAAUUCUAUGAUUGGAAACUUAAUGGGUUCCCCCUCCCCUUAAAGUUAACCAGGAGCUUUGCAAUUUGAUAGUUCAUCAUACAUGGUUGGCUGUCAGUGGAGUAUCAAUUUAAGGCUACUUCAUUUACCAAGAUCCACUUUUGUGUUUAUAUAAUUGCCUCCCAAUUUGGAUUAUCUAAAUUUGGAACACUGGGAGCCAAUUUUAACAUUUUUAAAGCCAAUAUAUUUAGCAUGGGUCUUUUCUUACCAAGAUAUAUAAGGGGAAAAGAAGAAAUCUUCCUUAGGAAUUUCAACAAGUCAUAGGAGUUUGACUACAUUUUAAGAGUAAAAGAAUGUAGGAAUACAUCUGAAUUGGAUAAAAAUGGAAAAGUUAAGGGUAGCCACUUAAGCAUACAAAAGAAUAAUCCAUAUAGGGUACCCGAGUGAAUGGCUUGCAAAAUUGUAAAGUAAUUUGAUGUGUUAAUUUCCUUGCCUUCGGUUUUUUCCCUAUAGAGUAAACAAUAUUAGCUGCUCCAGAUGUGUCACUGAAGAUAAACAUUUCCCUUUACAUUAUCCAAACUAAAGUAUUUUGGAACAACUAGAAAAAUGCACACAGAUGUGGGAUGAAGAGAAUCGGACGCAUAUUUUAGCUAGUUUUCUCCACAAGGCUAGUGAAGUGCUGAAGACCACAAGGGAUUCCAAACUCUAAUGGACCUUUGCGAAGAAAACGUUGGCUUAUGUGGAAUUUACAUGGGCCUCAUGGAAGAAAGCUUAUCUGUUUAGUAUUUGUGCAUUUUACUAAAAUGGCAGCUUAAAAAGUUGUGUAUCUGCUAUUUGUGAUGCCAAUGCCCAUGUUUUAAAGUGGAAAAUUGACCUCUUUGCUUUGUGCUGUGUACACAAGAUUUCUGCAAAAGUAAAGGAAAAAAACCCGUUUUUAUGGCUCACACAGCUUAAAAUAGCUGUCACUCAAAACAUGCGCUCACAGUCGAGCUGAUUUUGUUUCAUUCUAAAUAAAUUGUUUCUUUUGAGGAAAGUGGUUUUUCUGCCUGGAAAUGAAUUGACGACAAACCUUUGACCCCUUUGUUUGCAGCUGUGGGGGUACUUUACAACUGCUCCUGCUGCUCCUUCUCCUCGAUCUGAUAGUUGUGGGUCUCAGACAAGAAACAGGGAAACCUUCGCUUUGAUAUUGACCAUCUUUUAUAUCAGAUCUGAAGAAAUCUAGUUUGUUGUGUUGCUGUGUCCUCUUGUGUACGGUGAAUGGGGAUCAAUGGCUGCUAUCUCCUCAUCUUUACGAGGAAAUGGUGCUGUUGCUGGCAUGCAAGAAGCAGGGAAAGCAUCUUAAGUCUCAGAACAGUGUACAGAUCUGGGACUUUGUUGAUUUUGAAGAGCUGGAGUUCCUGAAUUUUAAGUUCUUGAUUUAUUUUGUUCACCUAACUUGUUUGGCCUUAGUUCUGAUUUUAAUUUGAAGAAAGUUUGAAAUUGCUUUGCAUCUUGCGCAUAACCUUUUCACCAAAUUGAAAACAAAAAGAAAAAGUAACUCAUUAAAAAAAAAUUAAAUGAUAGCGCGUUUCCAGACACAGUUGGAGAGCUCCUCCACCACCAGGGGCUUUUCUUCAGAGUUAUGCAGUCCUGGGUGUAGUUCUGAAUUGGAAGAAGAGUUCCUGAGAGCUAGAGCGCUGUCAUUUAAAACCUGUACAAUUGUUAUUGGUGCUCUUGACCCGUUUUGAAGCAAAUGGUCUACACACCUUGGAUGUGCAUGCAACCUUGAUCGUUUCGUAGGUACCACUGCAAACUAGUUUGUAGUACAGAUGAUAACAGGAGGAAAAAAAAGUGGUGAAACUUUGAAAAAAAAGUGCCAUAUUUCCUGCAUUUGGGGAUCUUGAGCUUUGGAAAGCUGUUCCCACUGUGCAGGAGUACAACUCUUUGCUGCAGGAGACUUCGGGGCACAGUUGACUACACAUCACCAGAGGUCAAGAGGAAGCGAACAGUGCUGCACCUGCAUCGUGGCUGCAGAAACUGCAUUUGUUUCCCAAGUCUCUUAGAAUUAACUAGUUGCCAUUUGACAUGCAGAUGGAAGACACCUUGAAAUGCAAGCUUGCUCUGGUUGCCUUGAAAUUCUUAACCUGUUGUGGAUAAAGAACACUAGUGCGGUCCUGUAUCCAUGCAGAAUGAUUGCUAGGCAGCAGGUGCUUAUCAACCAAGGAUGCUACGAUUGUGUUCCACAAAAUAUGGGUUCCCAUGGCAAACUGCUGUAUAAAACUCUUAAACAGGAUUUGUCAGCCCCUCUGGACUGAUUAGAGGGACAUCUUUAUCUGAAAGGAACUCCAGGCAACUUACAUGAAGAUAGCUCUUCAUUUUAUCCCUGCCACGUUCCUGUGAGGUUCCAAGAAUAAUGAAAUGGAUGAAACAAGGAAACAUAUACCAGCCAAAAUGAAGGAACAUGCAUACGUCUGUGUGUAAUCAUACAGCCAACCUGUAAGUAAGAGGAACAGCAGGAUUUGGUUAUUAAAUCAUUCUCAUUUAGUGUAGUUGUCUUUUCAUAUCAUUACUAAAGCAACACUUUUAAAAACCACGUAGGUACCUCAACAAUACUGCAUUUGCAUCAUUUAACCUAAGUGGCAAUAAAGAUUAUGUUUUAUAUAUUAACCUACCUUAAUUGGUUUAAAUUGCAGGAGCUGAUGUCUUAUUCCAAGGUAAAUAUAUUUCAUUCCUUUAAUUUUCUUCAUGGCAUGUUUAUUAAAUAAUUAUCUGUUUCAGUUUUUCUUUCACCAGUCAAUUUUUCUGCUUGCUCAGUCUCUCUGUAUUUUAGGAUCUUCUACUGAACCCCACAUUUGACAGCAAAGAAGGGAUGGAGGCUUUUUGCAGUAGUAUUGAGCUAUGGAGUACUUGAGUGGUGCAGAAGAUACUGUCUUGUGUUCAGACUAAACAUUCCUAUACACCCACAUAUAAGGAUAUUUUUAAUUUUGGUGAAUUUUAUGUAAUGUAUAUAGAAUGAAUUCUGGUUAUACUCUUUGUUACGUUGCCUCACAGACUUUUAAGUAUUAAUAAUUUCGAAAAUGGGCAAAACACAUCUUUUGAAAAAGCAUAUAAAUUCAUAGAAGUAAUGUACUAUUAUCCCACCCCUAACAUUUAUAGAACCAAGUGAUCUCUUAUUUGGUGAGAUCCCAUUGGUGUUCGCAUGGUUACUUGGGAAUAAAUCCCCACGAUCCCAUAGCAAUUACGUUGUGGAGGAUUUUCUUGUUCUGGCAAACUAUUAAAAUUUACCACCAGAGGGCUUGUUCCCACAUUGAAAUAAUAUGGCUCAUAUUUAAAGCACUCUGGAGUAGAUCCUGCCUGAAAACCUAUUGAUUCACAAUUAUGUGGUACUUCUAUGUAUUACAUAUAUGAAUUGGAUUACUAGGGGAUCAUAAGAUUUUUGCCAGUCUAGUUCUCUUCAUUAAAAUAACGGUCAUAUUGAUGCUUCCUGUAUGCAGAAAAUAGUCCCCCCCUCUCAUAAUUACUCCAAUUCUCAUACACAACAGUAUCUGAACAAAUUAUUUUUAUCCCUCAAGGCUUAAUACCUGCUUUUCAUAAAAACGUAGAUUCAAACUUGAAUUUGGCUAUAAAUGUAACCUUCUGUUUGUUAGCUUGGCUAUUUUGUGCCAAAAACUAUGAUUUUUUUUUUAAUUUAAAUCUACAGCAGAUAACUUGCACUGAAUGAGCUCAAAUAUUAGAAAUGAAAGAAUUUGCCCAUUUACUGAAUAUACAUAUGAAAUUCUGACCCUAUUUUUUUGAAGUCUCAGUGCCUUAACAUGGUGUAUAUGGACACGUUCGUAUUUCUGAUUAUUUCACUUACUCUUUUCUGUUGGUUUUAGGGCUAUGAAAUACCUUCUGAAAUGUCUCCAGAUUAUACCAAAUGAUGUUACCUACAGAAUUAUUUAAAAAGAAGUACUUGCCAUUUUGUUUUCAACUCUUUUCCUAUUAAAUCCAGUGUUCAUGUUUAACUUCCAAUGCGUAUUAUAAUGAAAUGUUUACCUCGGGUGAAAAUCUUUGCAGUUAAGCCUCUACUGCUUUAAGAAUAUAGGUUUUGUUGGGCUCAAAGUAUAUAACCACGUAGUUUAAUUGCUCAUUUAUUUUUUAAAAGUUCUUCUGCUUUAGGUUUCAUUAUCUUGAAUCACUGAAUCCACAUCCAGUGUAUACUAUUAAUCCCUCUUAGGUAGAUAGGAUGUAUGGAUACAAUUGCAAUAUAAAACACAUAAAAACUUUACAAUGAUUGUCUUCUGGAAAUGAAUCCUGUCUCACUAGUACUUCUCAGUAUCCACUUUGACAACUUGACCAUACUCCAGAAAACAAGACGGCUUUGGUGUUACCAUUUUUAUUGCUAGCUGACAAGGAAGGACUAAUAAACAGAUUUAAAUAUUAACACUCACAAUAAUUUACUAGAAGUUUUUCAAGAACUCUAAAUUAUGUUGUCAUGUAGUUAUUAAUGUGUUAAUUUUAAAACCUCUUACAUUUUUUCUAUUUGGCACAGCUCUUCAGAGGCAGUCCCUGCCCCAUUCCCUAGAAUAUGCUUCAGGUGUGGGUCUCACAUUAACAUCUUUCACAGUGAAGACUGAUGCAAAGAUCCCAGCACAGGAAUCAGCAGUGCAAGAUAUCCACCACUGAAAAUGGCAAAAAUUACAGAGUAACUCAUAAGUAAUGGAAAGGUUGUAGCCAGAGGACACAGCAGAUUAGUGAGCCCACAAAGAAUGAGACUUGCUGGUAGAUGCCCCUACUGCUUGGCUGUGGCCUCAUUUGUCAGAUUUCUUAUCCGGGUGCUACUAAUAUGAUGUAAGCAGUAUCCAUUGGAUCAAUACCCAAUGUUUUGGCUCUGGCUGCAAGGUGGAAAGUUGGGAUAAAAUAGGCAAGCUGACUGAAGAGAAAAGACCACGUGAAAAUAAGGA
Non-coding RNA from Notechis scutatus (mainland tiger snake), 6696 nucleotides. NCBI's taxonomy places the organism in Eukaryota, Metazoa, Chordata, Lepidosauria, Squamata, Elapidae. The record is from RefSeq and is a predicted model, not a curated record.